UCUUGUGAUUAAAGUUGCUGGGGUCAAGU
Molecule: non-coding RNA, 29 nt
Filed under: Mus musculus (house mouse)
Lineage: Eukaryota; Metazoa; Chordata; Mammalia; Rodentia; Muridae
Source: RNAcentral